This 1658-nucleotide ribosomal RNA is filed under the name uncultured archaeon. RNAcentral's name for it is "bacterial SSU rRNA". It matches the Rfam family "Archaeal small subunit ribosomal RNA". The record is from RNAcentral.
AGAGAACUGCUAUCAGGGUCCGGCUAAGCCAUGCGAGUCGAGAGGUGUAAGACCUCGGCGUACUGCUCAGUAACACGUAGCUAAUCUAACCUUAGGUGGGGGAUAACCCCGCAAACGUGGGCUCAAUACCCCAUAGGUGAGGGAGGCUGGAAGGCACCCUUGCCGAAACCUGAGGGGCCUAAGGAUGAGGCUGCGGCCGAUUAGCCUGUAAUUAGGGUAAAUGCCUAACCAAGCGAUAAUCGGUACGGGUCAUGAGAGUGAUAGCCCGGAGAUGCAUUCUGAGACAUGAAUGCAGGCCUUGCGGGGCGCAGCAGGCGCGAAACCUUCCCAAUACCAGCAAUGGUGAGGGCGGGGACCCUGAGUGAUGUUGGUUUCCAACAUCUUUUGCCAAGUGUAAACAGCUUGGAGAAUAAGUGGUGGGCAAGACGGUUGCCAGCCAUUUUGAAAGUUGAGUUCUAAAAGCGUUUCGCUAUUUUUGUAGAAACUAAAUUACCGUAGAAUCUACAAAUAAUUUAUAGCGGAAUGAAUAGCUUGCUACGCCAGUUAUGAUAUCAAUUUUCAAAACUGGAAGCCGCGGUAAUAACCGCGCCACUAGUGGUUCUCACGAUUAUUGGGUCUAAAGCAUCCGUAGCCGGUUCUGUGAGUCUCUGGUGAAAUCCUGCAGCUGACUGUAGGAAGUGCCAGGGAUACUGCAGGACUAGGGACUGGUCGAGGUGCAGGGUACGUUGGAGGUAGGGGUAAAAUCCUUUGAUCUCCCACGGACCACCUGUGGCGAAGGCGCUGUACUAGGACAGAUUCGACGGUGAGGGAUGAAAGCGUGGGGAGCGAUUGGGAUUAGAUACCCCAGUAGUCCACGCUGUAAACGAUGCCCGCUUGAUGUUGCGGGUCCUAAGAGGACCUGCAGUGUCGUAGCGAAGGUGUUAAGCGGGCCACUUGGGGAGUACGGCCGCAAGGCUGAAACUUAAAGGAAUUGGCGGGGGAGCACUACCAGGGGUGGAGGCUCCGGUUUAAUUGGAUACAACGCCGGGAACCUANCCAGCGAAGACAGCAGGAUGAGGGUCAGUCUGAAGGGCUUACCUGACAAGCUGAGAGGAGCUGCAUGGCCGUCGUCAGCUCGUGGCGUGAGCUGUCCUGUUAAGUCAGGAAACGAGCGAGACCCACGUUGUUAGUUGCUAACGUGCUCUCCGGAGUACGUGCACUCUAGCAAGACCGCUGGUGCUAAACCAGAGGAAGGAGUGGGCGACGGCAGGUCAGUAUGGCCCGAAUUUGCUUGGGAUACACGGGGCCUACAAUGCGUAGGACAAUGGGAUGCAACCCCGUAAGGGGAAGCCAAUCUCUUAAACCUACGCCUAGUUCGGAUUGCGGGCUGCAACCCGCCCGCAUGAAGCCGGAAUCCCUAGUAAGCGAGGGUCAUCAUAGCGGCAAGUGCCAGAUGAUUAACCCGGCCAAAGGCUGAAUACGAACGUUGAAGAAAAAGCUUAGGCUUGACACUGAGUUCUGUAUUCGCUUUGUAGCAGCUCAAUGAUGCGCUUGCUACUGUGAAAUCUCUCGCUGAAUACGUCCCUGCUCCUUGCACACACCGCCCGUCAAGCCAAUUGAAUGGGCCUCUGGUGAGGUUUGCGUUGAGCAACUCGAACCAGAGGUCCGUAAGAGGGGCU